UAAAAGAUGGCUUAGUCGGUAGAGCAGGAGACUCUUAAUCUCAGGGUCGUAGGUUCAAGCCUCACAUAGGAAAA
Molecule: non-coding RNA, 74 nt
Organism: Podarcis lilfordi (Lilford's wall lizard)
Lineage: Eukaryota; Metazoa; Chordata; Lepidosauria; Squamata; Lacertidae
Source: the annotation of a GenBank genome assembly